CCCCUAUGACUUAUGUCACCCUAUACACGAUUGUUUCACAUCAUUAGUCAGUUUUUAAUAUUUACUCUCCUCUCCUCUCUCAAGAGAAAAAAAUUAGGGUUUCUUCCCAAGAAUAAGAAAUUCAAGCUUUCUUCCCCAAGAACUCAAGAAUUCAAGUUCCAAUUUCAAGUUUUCUUCAAGAAGUCAUCUAAUUGAGGUAUGUGGGGUAUUCAUCAAUGGGUUCAUUUCACCCAUUCAGCCCUAAAACACUUUUUUUUGGUUUAAAGUAUGAAUUUUAUUCUAUUUUAUGAAAUCACCAUGAAACUUUUGAAUUUAAUCCAUGUAUUUCUUAGUAAUUUAAAUUCAAGCCAUGUCAAUAUGUUUUCCCAUGUAAACUAGUUUAUUUCAUGCUUUAAAUUCCAAUUACUCAUGUUCUAUUCAAGUGAUUCCAUGUCAAAUCUUCGAGUUAUGAAUUAAAUCAUGUGAAUAUGUUGUUUUCUCAAGUUUAACUCAUUCCCAUGUUUAAGUUUAUGUAUUUCAAUCAAUUAUUAACAUGUCUUAUGUUUUGGGUCUCUAAACUAUGAUUUCAUAGCACCGUUUUGAGCAUUGUUAUCGUAUUUUAGUAUCUUUCAAUGCUGGAGGGUUAUGAACACCCAAUUCCUUUAUAUUUUUACAUGUUUCCAUUUUAAAGUAACAAGUCAGUAAUACUAUGAUUUUACUAUCAAAUUUAAAUUACCAUGUUAAUACUGAGCAUUUAUCAGUACAGUACCAUAUUAUGUUAAACUAAUAAUAACACUUGAGUCAUUCAGUUGGGAGUAACACUUAACACUGAGUGAACACAGAGAUGACAACUCGCUCAUCAGUUAGGCAUGAGUCAUUAGUAGAAGUACCUAAGAUCAAGACCUAUGGAACCACCGUAGAUUAUGAGGGAUCCCCAUCUGUUAGGGAUGACACCCUCGUCCUUCGGGACAUCAACCUUGUAGAUCCAUAUCGUCAGUCAUGUGUUAGUACCCUUGAAAAGGUACCAACACCCUUCUAACUAGGGUUAUAGGUUGGACCCUGAUAGCUUAAAUUGGGACAUAUUGGUUGUAGUUAUUUCCCACAGUCUUAGUACAGUAUUCAGAGUGUGUUAGUUUAGGUUUGCAUGAGCUAGUAUUCAGACAUCAACUAUUUAGAUAUUCAGAUAUCAGUUAUUCAGUUAUUUAGAUCAUGUCAGUACAUAUUUAUGCUUGGUGUUGAAUUCUCAGUUUUACAUGUUCAUGUUUUUUCAUGUCAGUAUCCAUACAUGAUCCUCAGUUCAAUUUUACAGCAUGUUUAGCUUUACAUGAGAUUUACAUAUAAUAUCCAUGUUUUACCACUUCCCAACUUCAUUUCUACUUAUUCUAUAAAAGUAAAGAUUUAAGAAACUAAGUGCAGUGAUUCACCAGCUUAUCAAAUUAUGUUUGUUAGUCAUGUUUUAAGGUACUUCAACUUUUAGUUGAUUUUAGUAUCUUGGUGAGUCUACUUGCACUUAGCAUGCAUGUUUUAAGAUUAUGUAUCUAUUCAGUUUUACUUGUUGCAUUCACUGCCAAUUACUCAGUACAUUCCAUAAGUACUAAAAACAUAUAUGUCUAUAUGGAUACAUUAUUUCAUAAUGUAGGUACUAUAAGUAGUCCACAUACCAGGGUC
RNAcentral lists this long non-coding RNA (1647 nucleotides) under Capsicum annuum. RNAcentral describes it as "long non-coding RNA (CANN_LNC009609)". Lineage: Eukaryota; Viridiplantae; Streptophyta; Magnoliopsida; Solanales; Solanaceae. The record is from RNAcentral.